CCCUGAACGCUUAGAAAAUUCAUUGAACAUAGAGAUUGCGAAUAAGGAAGUAAUUUUUGUAGAGUUUGUUUACCGAGACUGUUAUUCAAACAUUAGAGGUCACAAACUAAACGUAGGCUUAAUUUCGAUUAAACUGGGAGAGUUUGAUGUGAUAUUAGGAAUGGAUUGGUUAUCCAGCCACACUGCGAUAAUCGAUUAUAAAGAGAAAAGUGUGAACCUUCAGACCUCAAAUCAGU
This 236-nucleotide long non-coding RNA is filed under the name Panax ginseng (ginseng). RNAcentral's name for it is "long non-coding RNA (PGIN_LNC009294)". Lineage: Eukaryota; Viridiplantae; Streptophyta; Magnoliopsida; Apiales; Araliaceae. The record is from RNAcentral.